This 268-nucleotide ribosomal RNA is filed under the name uncultured bacterium. Its description in RNAcentral is "partial 16S ribosomal RNA". It matches the Rfam family "Bacterial small subunit ribosomal RNA", at positions 509 to 776 of the family's 1533-position model. The record is from RNAcentral.
CAGCAGCCGCGGUAAUACGGAGGGUGCAAGCGUUAUCCGGAUUUAUUGGGUUUAAAGGGUCCGUAGGCGGGUUCGUAAGUCAGUGGUGAAAUCCUACAGCUUAACUGUAGAACUGCCAUUGAUACUGCGAGUCUUGAGUGUAGUUGAGGUAGCUGGAAUGAGUAGUGUAGCGGUGAAAUGCAUAGAUAUUACUCAGAACACCAAUUGCGAAGGCAGGUUACCAAGUUACAACUGGCGCUGAUGGACGAAAGCGUGGGGAGCGAACAGG